UUAAUAUAAUAUGUUAUAUUAAUAAAUAUGUUGCUUCAUUCAUUAAUGAAUUGUUAUUAUAUUUUGCCAUUUCAUAUGGCGAUGGCGCUAGUCAUCACACUUCAGAUAGAGAACUGCCUCUUGCUGUCACUUAUGACAAGGUACUUAGCUAUAAUAAGUGGAUUUGGAACACUACUCUAAAUGCAUCCCCCGAGGGCCUAUAUAUUUAAAAACAAAACAAAACAAAACAAAAAAAAAAAAAAACAUGAAUGUAAAAAGAAUAGUUUACUCUAAAAGAAAAUUCGGUCAUCAUUUACUUUUUUUUCUCAAUUUACAUUACAUUAUAAUUUACAUUACUACUAUUACCUAAUAUUAAAGGGAAAGUACAGCCUAAAAUAAAAACCCAUACAGUAUUUACCCUGAUUUCGUUCCAAACUGGUAGGCCUAAGACAUUUUUUUGAAAAUUUUUGAAAAAAAAUCUUUUAAUCAACAUCAUCAUCAUUAUCAUUAUCAUUAUUAUUAUUAUUAUUAUUAUUGUCCAUACAGUACAUACAUCAAAACUGUUUGGUUACCAACAUUCUUCAAAGUAUUUUCUUUAGUGUUAUUUUGUGUUUCCUUUUAAGCAGCUAUCACCGUCUAGCCCAAGACUGGUUUCCUGGUUCUGAAGCUAAGCAGGGUUGAGCCUGGUCAGUACGUGGAUGGGAGACCUCCUGGGAAAACUGGGAUGCUGCUAGAAGCACCACCAAAUAGCACCGUCUUUCAGAUGAGACGUUAAACCAAGCUCCACCCCUUUAGGAUGCAACGGAAGGACACAAGGAAAAGAUGGGAGGACAGAGGAAUUUAAUCAAGUGAAAUGAUAUCCUCGCUCCCUUUAUCGUCACUUCAAAGCAUCAUCAGCUGCACUCGAGGGAUCUACCCAUAUGUUGUUAAAGUUUGGUUAUUUAAAAAAUUAUAAUAAAUAUUAAUAAGGAAAGAUGCCCCAUUAAAAUAUGUGAGAUGUAAAGUUUAUUUAAACUGCAAAAGUAAACCAUACAUUUAAAUGAUUGUGACAGAUAUGAAGGGGGAGGAGAAUUUAUACGUGCCUCACGUUUCUCGACGAGAAAGACUUCCGCAAAGGAUACACCUGUGUGUCCUCGCUCAUGACUCCUCAGGAAGCUUCCUCACUCCUCGUUCCUCGCCUCCUCGCGGUGCAAUUAGAGAAUUGAGAUGUCCUACAAGAUGGCUGAGCUUGAUCGGUUUCCGGGUCAUAGGAUGGAGGACGGAGGAGCGAGGAAACAAGGAGGGAUAUUGAGAAGCACCCCUUGUCAUAUUAGUUACUAUAGUUACCAUUAGUGUUGUAGUACUCAAGACCGGUCUUUGUCUUGAGACCAGUCUUAAGACCAUUUUUUGAAGGUCUUGGUCUCAGACUAAAAGGACUCUGGGUUUUAUUUCAAGACCACUCAAGACCACAACUGCGGGGAUAUCGCUAACUUGCUGUUGCAUUGUCUGAUUUCUUUGUUAACAUCAUUAAUUUGAUUGGAUAUAAAACUUCCUGCUUCAAAUGCAAUCAAUAA
Molecule: long non-coding RNA, 1532 nt
Organism: Ctenopharyngodon idella (grass carp)
Lineage: Eukaryota; Metazoa; Chordata; Actinopteri; Cypriniformes; Xenocyprididae
Exons: 2
Source: RefSeq, a predicted model, not a curated record